This is a long non-coding RNA of Oreochromis niloticus (Nile tilapia), 940 nucleotides long. RefSeq lists it as uncharacterized. Lineage: Eukaryota; Metazoa; Chordata; Actinopteri; Cichliformes; Cichlidae. The transcript is spliced from 4 exons. The record is from RefSeq and is a predicted model, not a curated record.
UCACCGUGGUAACGGUCAGGUCCCCUGAUGAAUCCCAAUUCAGCCGGCUUUGCUGUCACUGUCAGGUGUUUCCGGAUUCUCCAUCUCUGACGGCCUAACCGUAGAUGUACUCGCACGUUCAGAGUCCAGGCUCGGCUCCCCAAGCACGGCACUCAUGAACACACAUUCCAUCACAAAUAAGACUUUCGAAUAGCUGAAUUUAAAGGUUGAAACCUGGCAGACUGAAUCAGGCCUACCUCAUUGAACUGCGUCCUUUACAUCUCUCAGGAUGUGAUGGAGGUCUUGCAGCCGGUUUAAAGAUCCGCUUCCUGUGCUGACAGUAUGGGUGUGUAGCCUUUUCUCUCAUUCCUGCCUCCUUGUCUCCUUUGACCUUUGUGUUGGUGCCUGUGACCUGGGAGUUGAUCUCCGUGUUAAUGCAUCUGGAGGCCAUGAGAGGAGCGAGAGGCGGAUUGCUGGAGAGGCUCUAAUUGAGGAUGCUCAGGUGCUGCCUGCAGUGAAGCCAAAGAGAUGUACAUGAGAUUGGAGGGACAGCCGGAGACAAGUGUUAUGGAAGGAGAGAGCAGAUGGAGGCAGAUGGCGACUCCUACUGCUGCAGUAAAAUGGCAUCUCAUCACAGCUCUGCCAGUUUAAUCUGCUACCAAUAAAAAUAUAUUCCAAAGUAAAAUAAGAGAAAUAAAACUCAGCAACGGAGGAGAGGCGGGAGAGGUGGGGGCGAUGGAGGAACAGGUGGUGGCGGGGGACAAUGAUAUGAUAACAAGAAGCAGAGAGAACAAGCAGUGGGACCUGUGCAAAAUGUUGAGACCUGAACAGAGUGACGUUUAUUUUUACACGAAUAACAUCACAAGUACAACAGCAACUCCAACAUCUCUCCAAAUUCUGCUCCACUUAAAGGAGAAUUACACUUACUCUGCUAUAUCUAGCUAUCUAUCUAUCUAUCUAU